RNAcentral lists this ribosomal RNA (444 nucleotides) under uncultured Candidatus Saccharibacteria bacterium. Its description in RNAcentral is "bacterial SSU rRNA". It matches the Rfam family "Bacterial small subunit ribosomal RNA", at positions 8 to 494 of the family's 1533-position model. Lineage: Bacteria; Candidatus Saccharimonadota. The record is from RNAcentral.
AGAGUUUGAUCCUGGCUCAGGAUGAAUGCUGGCGGCGUGCCUAAUACAUGCAAGUCGAGCGGAAACACUUCGGGUGUCGAGCGGCGGACGGCUGAGUAACGCAUAGGAACGUACCCCAAAGUGAGGGAUAACUCCGAGAAAUCGGGGCUAAUACCGCAUAUGCUCUAAGGAGUAAAGCUUCGGCGCUUUGGGAACGGCCUAUGUCCGAUUAGCUAGUUGGUGAGGUAAAGGCUUACCAAGGCGACGAUCGGUAGCUGGUCUGAGAGGAUGAUCAGCCAGACUGGGACUGAGACACGGCCCAGACUCCUACGGGAGGCAGCAGUAGGGAAUUUUCCACAAUGGGGGCAACCCUGAUGGAGCAACGCCGCGUGCAGGAUGAAGGCCUUCGGGUCGUAAACUGCUUUUAUAUGUGAAGAUUUUGACGGUAACAUACGAAUAAGGUCC